Molecule: ribosomal RNA, 301 nt
Filed under: uncultured bacterium
Lineage: Bacteria
Description: partial 16S ribosomal RNA
Rfam family: Bacterial small subunit ribosomal RNA
Source: RNAcentral
CAGCAGCCACGGGAAUACGGAGGGUGCAAGCGUUAAUCGGAAUUACUGGGCGUAAAGCGUGCGUAGGCGGUUCGUUAAGUCUGUUGUGAAAGCCCCGGGCUCAACCUGGGAAUGGCAAUGGAUACUGGCGAGCUAGAGUGUGUCAGAGGAUGGUGGAAUUCCCGGUGUAGCGGUGAAAUGCGUAGAGAUCGGGAGGAACAUCAGUGGCGAAGGCGGCCAUCUGGGACAACACUGACGCUGAGGCACGAAAGCGUGGGGAGCAAACAGGAUUAGAUACCCGUGUAGUCCCUGUCUCUUAUAC